Molecule: ribosomal RNA, 802 nt
Filed under: uncultured archaeon
Lineage: Archaea
Description: bacterial SSU rRNA
Rfam family: Archaeal small subunit ribosomal RNA
Source: RNAcentral
CAUGGCGUACUGCUCAGUAACACGUGGAUAACCUGCCCUUGGGACCGGGAUAACCCCGGGAAACUGGGGAUAAUACCGGAUAACGCAUAUCUGCUGGAAUGCUUUAUGCGUAAAAUGGAUUUGUCUGCCCAAGGAUGGGUCUGCGGCCUAUCAGGUAGUAGUGGGUGUAAUGUACCUACUAGCCUACGACGGGUACGGGUUGUGAGAGCAAGAGCCCGGAGAUGGAUUCUGAGACAUGAAUCCAGGCCCUACGGGGCGCAGCAGGCGCGAAAACUUUACAAUGCGGGAAACCGUGAUAAGGGGACACCGAGUGCCAGCAUCAUAUGUUGGCUGUCCAGAUGUGUAAAAUACAUCUGUUAGCAAGGGCCGGGCAAGACCGGUGCCAGCCGCCGCGGUAACACCGGCGGCCCGAGUGGUGAUCGUGAUUAUUGGGUCUAAAGGGUCCGUAGCCGGUUUGGUCAGUCCUCCGGGAAAUCUGACGGCUCAACCGUUAGGCUUUCGGUGGAUACUGCCAGACUUGGAACCGGGAGAGGUAAGAGGUACUACAGGGGUAGGAGUGAAAUCUUGUAAUCCCUGUGAGACCACCUGUGGCGAAGGCGUCUUACCAGAACGGGUUCGACGGUGAGGGACGAAAGCUGGGGGCACGAACCGGAUUAGAUACCCGGGUAGUCCCAGCCGUAAACGAUGCUCGCUAGGUGUCAGGCAUGGCGCGACCGUGUCUGGUGCCGCAGGGAAGCCGUGAAGCGAGCCACCUGGGAAGUACGGCCGCAAGGCUGAAACUUAAAGGAAUUGGCGGGGGAGC